RNAcentral lists this unclassified non-coding RNA (352 nucleotides) under soil metagenome. RNAcentral describes it as "partial contains 5.8S ribosomal RNA, internal transcribed spacer 2, and large subunit ribosomal RNA". The stretch from base 1 to 120 matches the Rfam family "5.8S ribosomal RNA", at positions 35 to 154 of the family's 154-position model. The record is from RNAcentral.
GAUGAAGAACGUAGCGAAAUGCGAUAAGUAAUGUGAAUUGCAGAAUUCAGUGAAUCAUCGAAUCUUUGAACGCACAUUGCGCCCGCCAGUAUUCUGGCGGGCAUGCCUGUUCGAGCGUCAUUUCAACCCUCAGGCCCCCAGUGCCUGGUGUUGGGGAUCGGCCCAGCCUUCCUGUAAGGCCGCCGGCCCCGAAAUCUAGUGGCGGUCUCGCUGUAGUCCUCCUCUGCGUAGUAGCACAACCUCGCAGUUGGAACGCGGCGGUGGCCAUGCCGUUAAACACCCCACUUCUGAAAGUUGACCUCGGAUCAGGUAGGAAUACCCGCUGAACUUAAGCAUACCAAUAAGCGGAGGC